This 494-nucleotide ribosomal RNA is filed under the name uncultured bacterium. RNAcentral's name for it is "partial 16S ribosomal RNA". It matches the Rfam family "Bacterial small subunit ribosomal RNA", at positions 31 to 507 of the family's 1533-position model. The record is from RNAcentral.
GAACGCUGGCGGCGUGCCUAACACAUGCCAGUCGAACGUGCAAAGGGAAACCUGAGUAAAGUGGCGUACGGGUGAGUAACGCGUAGGUAAUCUACCCCAGAAUCUGGAAUAACCUGCCGAAAGGUGGGCUAAUACUGGAUAGAGCGAGGGAACUGGAAAAGGGGUUUUUGGGGAAGGGGGCCCGCCAAGGGCCUCCGUCUUGGGAGAGCCUGCGUCUCAUUAGCUAGUUGGUAAGGUAACGGCUUACCAAGGCGAUGAUGAGUAGCUGGUCUGAGAGGAUGAUCAGCCACACUGGAACUGAAACACGGUCCAGACUCCUACGGGAGGCAGCAGUGGGGAAUCUUGCGCAAUGGACGAAAGUCUGACGCAGCCACGCCGCGUGAGUGAAGAAGGCCUUCGGGUUGUAAAGCUCUGUCGGAUGGGACGAACAUCUUCAUAGUGAAUAGCUAUGAGGACUGACGGUACCAUCAAAGGAAGCACCGGCUAACUCCGUG